RNAcentral lists this unclassified non-coding RNA (256 nucleotides) under Hevea brasiliensis (rubber tree). The record is from RNAcentral. Lineage: Eukaryota; Viridiplantae; Streptophyta; Magnoliopsida; Malpighiales; Euphorbiaceae.
GAACUAUUACCGAAGAUUCAUCGUAAGUUACUCGAAGAGGGCUGCUCAACUCAAAAAUCUCCUAAAGAAGGACGUACGGACCGAUCAUGGCACUGCACUGAUGGGAAGAGUGUCAAAGAGCUUUUGAGGACCUAAAGCAGGCAGUGAUUGAUGACCCCGUAUUGCAGUUGCCAGAUCACACUAAGCCAUUUGAAGUACACACGGAUGCGUCAGACUAUGCCAUAGGCGGUGUGCUAGUACAAUAAGGUAACCCAGU